UUUAUACGUCGAAUUUUGGUCGCGUCGAAUGCAAUUAAGACAAUAGAUAAUGAGAUGAUAAACCUUAUUAAGCUUCAUUAUCUAUUGUUUGAAUUGCAUUCGACGCGACUGAAAUUUGACGUAUAAA
Molecule: non-coding RNA, 127 nt
Organism: Paramuricea clavata
Lineage: Eukaryota; Metazoa; Cnidaria; Anthozoa; Malacalcyonacea; Plexauridae
Source: the annotation of a GenBank genome assembly